RNAcentral lists this ribosomal RNA (252 nucleotides) under uncultured bacterium. RNAcentral describes it as "partial 16S ribosomal RNA". It matches the Rfam family "Bacterial small subunit ribosomal RNA", at positions 524 to 776 of the family's 1533-position model. The record is from RNAcentral.
UACGGAGGAUGCGAGCGUUAUCCGGAUUUAUUGGGUUUAAAGGGUGCGUAGGCGGUCCGUUAAGUCAGCGGUAAAAUUGCGGGGCUCAACCCCGUCGAGCCGUUGAGACUGGCAGACUUGAGUUGGCGAGAAGUACGCGGAAUGCGCGGUGUAGCGGUGAAAUGCAUAGAUAUCGCGCAGAACUCCGAUUGCGAAGGCAGCGUACCGGCGCCAGACUGACGCUGAGGCACGAAAGCGUGGGGAUCGAACAGG